This 443-nucleotide ribosomal RNA is filed under the name uncultured bacterium. RNAcentral's name for it is "partial 16S ribosomal RNA". It matches the Rfam family "Bacterial small subunit ribosomal RNA", at positions 338 to 795 of the family's 1533-position model. The record is from RNAcentral.
CCUACGGGAGGCAGCAGUGGGGAAUAUUGGGCAAUGGGCGCAAGCCUGACCCAGCAACGCCGCGUGAAGGAAGAAGGCUCUCGGGUUGUAAACUUCUUUUAUCAGGGACGAAGCAAGCGACGGUACCUGAUGAAUAAGCCACGGCUAACUACGUGCCAGCAGCCGCGGUAAUACGUAGGUGGCAAGCGUUAUCCGGAUUUACUGGGUGUAAAGGGCGUGUAGGCGGGAAAGCAAGUCAGAUGUGAAAACCCUGGGCUCAACCUGUGGCCUGCAUUUGAAACUGGUUUUCUUGAGUACUGGAGAGGCAGACGGAAUUCCUAGUGUAGCGGUGAAAUGCGUAGAUAUGAGGAGGAACACCAGUGGCGAAGGCGGUCUGCUGGACAGCAACUGACGCUGAGGCGCGAAAGCGUGGGGAGCAAACAGGAUUAGAUACCCGUGUAGUC